GAUGAACGCUGGCGGCGUGCCUAAUACAUGCAAGUCGAGCGAACAGACGAGGAGCUUGCGCCUCGGACGUUAGCGGCGGACGUGUGAGUAACACGUGGAUAACCUACCUAUAAGAGUGAUAUAACUUCGAGAAACCGGAGCUAAUACCGUAUAAUAUAUUGAACCGCAUGGUUCAAUAGUGAGAGACGGUGUUGCUGUCUCUUCUAGAUGGAUCCGCGCCGCAUUAGCUAGUUGGUAAGGUAACGGCUUACCAAGGCAACGAUGCGUAGCCGACCUGAGAGCGGGAUCGGCCACACGGGAACUGAGACACGGUCAAGACUCCUACGGGAGGCAGCAGUAGGGAAUCGUACGCAAUGGGCGAAAGCAUGACGGAGCAACGCCGAGUGAGUGAUGAAGGUCCUCGGAUCGUAAAACCCUGUUAUUAGGGAAGAACAAAUGUGUAAGUAACUAUGCACGUCUUGACGGUAACUAAUCAGAAAGCCACGGCUAACUACGUG
Molecule: ribosomal RNA, 497 nt
Filed under: uncultured bacterium
Lineage: Bacteria
Description: partial 16S ribosomal RNA
Rfam family: Bacterial small subunit ribosomal RNA
Source: RNAcentral